Molecule: long non-coding RNA, 252 nt
Filed under: Populus tremula
Lineage: Eukaryota; Viridiplantae; Streptophyta; Magnoliopsida; Malpighiales; Salicaceae
Description: long non-coding RNA (PTRE_LNC001068)
Source: RNAcentral
UUUGGUUUACCAGACAAACUAAUCAAUCUCUCAACAUUAUGCUGAGGGUGAUGGAUGGUACGGUUGCACAAUCGGGACUGGGGAUGCCUAAUGCAUGAAUUCGUGGUUGUUUUCUUUAUGUGAUUAGCUUCUGAUGGAGGUGAUUGAUAGGUUUGCUUGGAGGUGAUAGAUAUGUUCAAAGAAGCUGGCCAAUCAAACGCAGCCAAGCAACUGUUGAAUUCUGGCAAUAAUUAAUUACCUUAUUGAUGUCAA